UUGCUUUGGCAACAGACAUCCUAAAAUUGAAAUGACACCAAGAAGAUUGGCAUUGCCCCUGCACAAAGAUGACACACAAGUUUGUAAAGAACAAAAAAUGGUG
Molecule: small nuclear RNA, 103 nt
Filed under: Carlito syrichta (Philippine tarsier)
Lineage: Eukaryota; Metazoa; Chordata; Mammalia; Primates; Tarsiidae
Source: RNAcentral